UGGGGAAUUUUCCGCAAUGGGCGAAAGCCUGACGGAGCAACGCCGCGUGAGGGACGAAGGCCUCUGGGCUGUAAACCUCUUUUCUCAAGGAAGAAGAUAUGACGGUACUUGAGGAAUAAGCCACGGCUAAUUCCGUGCCAGCAGCCGCGGUAAUACGGGAGUGGCAAGCGUUAUCCGGAAAUUAUUGGGCGUAAAGCGUCCGCAGGCGGCCUUUCAAGUCUGCUGUUAAAGCGUGGAGCUUAACUCCAUUAUGGCAGUGGAAACUGAUCGGCUUGAGUAUGGUAGGGGCAGAGGGAAUUCCCGGUGUAGCGGUGAAAUGCGUAGAUAUCGGGAAGAACACCAGUGGCGAA
Molecule: ribosomal RNA, 350 nt
Filed under: uncultured bacterium
Lineage: Bacteria
Description: bacterial SSU rRNA
Rfam family: Bacterial small subunit ribosomal RNA
Source: RNAcentral